Molecule: long non-coding RNA, 4734 nt
Organism: Bicyclus anynana (squinting bush brown)
Lineage: Eukaryota; Metazoa; Arthropoda; Insecta; Lepidoptera; Nymphalidae
Exons: 4
Source: RefSeq, a predicted model, not a curated record
UAACGAUUAAGCAUGUUUGACAAGCUUUGUCACAUCCUUUAACAAACGCGUGAAAAUCCAUAGUUGCCUAUCAUACCUAUCUACAUAAGUUAUUACUUUGUUUCAGGUAAGAAAGUUUGCUGGAAUCUAGCUACAAUGUAAUCGACCGACAUGGUAACAUACCUUCAUGUAAGACGGGCUACAAGUCUACAAAUGUUUUUAGUUAUGAUACUUUGGUAAUGCAUUUUCCACAGUUCCAAGAUGUGUGAGCCCCCCAGGAGCUCCCCAGGAGCGUAAACAAACCACGACAUCCCGUUUGAUUUGAUUGACAUCGGUGAGCGGUAUGUUAUUGAAACAUUAAUCUCAACUCGAACGGCUUCUGAAGUCGUCACUUUGGCCUCGGAAAUAGCUUUACGAUUAUUUUCCGACACAUCAAAGGAGGUGAUUAAAUGUCCAGGGACGCGGAUAUACGCACCCUAUAGACCGAUAACCUGCGAGGGUCAGACUUACCUCAUUUUGGGAAAACUGAAUAUUGGUAUUGUAUUAGAUUUCAAGGGUAUCUAGAGUUACCACGAAGCUAAAGGUCUGGCGACUGAAGCUUUGAUUCCUUAUAUAUUAUCAUGAUCCCUGAGUAAAAUAUCGGAGAAUUGAGGAUCUUAACCCUUGAAACCUGGCACCUUCCAAAGCGCAAGUACAUAAUGUAAUGUAUAGACUGCAUUUAAAUUUCAUCAAAACGGCGCACAAAUAAUGUUAAAAAUAAUAAGCGGCAGCUACACCUCGUAUUUGACAAUAAUAACUAGCGGAAGUCCGUAAUUUCGUUAGCGUGAAAUUCAGUUUUGUCAUUAAUCCCGUGGGAACCAUGGAUUUUUUCAGAAUAUGAAGUAGCCUAUAUGUUGCUCAAUAAUCUCCUGCAUCUACCAGUGAAAGUCCUGUUCAAAUUGGUUCAACCGUUCUUGCCAUUAGCCUGGACAAACAGGCAGACAGACAAAAAAUUUAAAAGCAGCUUGCUUGUGAAAUCACAGACAUACACUCAUACACUUAAAUUUUACUUAUAUAUGUAUUGAUCAUCAUAUCAUAUAAGGACGUAUUAUCGAGUCUAUGGACUGUAUACACAAUAUAGGUCUUUGGUAAGACCAUAGGCUGACAAACACUCAUCAUCAUCAUCAUCAAUAUCAGCCGAUUAACGUCUAUUGCUGGACAUGGACCUCUUGUAUAGACUUUCAAACAUCACGGUCUCGGGCUGCCAGCAUCCAGUGGCUCCUUGCAAGCUGCUUGAUGUCCUCGAUCCAUCUAGAGGGAGGUCGACCAACACUGCGCUUUCCGGUGCGGGGUCGCCAUUCCAGCACCUUGGGACCCCAACGUCCAUUGGCUCUUCGAAAUAUGUGCUCUGCCCAUUCAUGCCUGACAUACAUUCGGCGUUCCUAAAAUGAAGAAUGUCUGACUAUCGUAGACUCUUGGUCCUCUAUAUCUAGAGCUGGAUUACUAACGUGACCUGGCAACUGUCAACGCCGAACUGCCAAUUUGUAUCCGAACCCUCUAAUUGGUACAAAGCUCGAUUUAGACUUCGACGUAUUAAAUGUCUGGACAGAAAACGGUCACAGGUUUAGUUUACGUAAGUCAGUGCCGAUCAUAAAUAUACAGACGUUAAUUAGGUCUGAGUGUAUACUGAGAGGACAUUGGGUUUUUAUAUAAAUAUAUCUGCGUCUUAAAACAGAAACAGGUUUUUUCUAUGCAGAAUCUUAAAUCUAGAUUUUUAGAAUAUAGAUUUCUUAAAAUUUUAGAAUGCACGGUUAUCUAGUUAGAUAGAUAUAAAGUACUUUAAAAGUUGUGUAGCAUGGGUGGGUUUCUAGAAAUUUGAUAUUAUUUUGCUCUGGUGAAUAAGUAAGCGGUGGUGGUCUGGUGGUGGUGAGUGGUAGUCCUUAACUACUUAUGAGGCAUAACAAGCAGUUACGCGUUUUUGUAUAAGGGUUUUUCAAAAACUGCUAUAUCUUUGGUAUUGUAAGAGUGAUAUCGCUAUCAACCGAUAUUCGGCUCACUGUUUAGCUCGAGGCUCCUCUCAGAAUGAGACGGGUUAGGCCAGUAGUCCACCACGCUGGGCCAAUGCGGAUUGGCAGACUUCACACACGCAGAGAAUUAAUAAAAUUCUCUGGUAUGCAGGUUUCCUCACGAUGUUGUCCUUCACCGUUUGAGACAUGUGAUAUUUAAUUUCUUAUAUGACUGAUAUAACUAUAGCUAAAUUAUUUCCACAAAGGACAGGUACCCGUUAUGGCACAUCCUUCGGUGAUAUUUUAACAAGAAAGGGCACCGACUGGCAUUUUAGAUUCAAUACGACAGCCGCUCGUAAAAUGGGAGAGGUGUUUUCGACCUCAUGAAUACCUUAGUACCAGUCCACUUUAAUAGUUAAAUAGUGGGGACACAGAGGUGUAGGGAUAUCCCUAACUUUGUUAUCCCUGCGGAGAGCUGUUCGUUUGCAACUAAACUAAUGGGAACAGAUCUACGUGUUAGCAUUAUGGAAAUUGUUUAGAUUUGUGCCACGUGUUGAAUGGACAGUUACAACGCAGACUUUCUCUGCCCAAUAUCUCCUCUUCACGUUGGCAAACAAGUCCUGUGCGUAGGCCAACGCAUUUUCACAUUGGCCAACGUUGUGGCGAAUAUUGUUGUGGCAGGUAGGUCAUCGAGGCUUAGCCUCUUUGUCCGGGUAAGGUUUUUCAGCCCCUUUCGGGCAGUAUAUAUUGAUCUAUACUAUAUCUUAUCUAUGAGGGUCGUUGUUGUCGCGGUUUUACUAUAAUAUUUUGUAAAAUAGCGACGGUAUCUAUACUAAUAUUAUUAAUCUGAAGAGAUUGUUGUUUGAUUGAACGCGCUAAUUUUAGGAACUACUGGUCCGAUUAAAAAAAAAUUCGAGCCCAUUUAUCGAGGAAGGCUAUUGGCUAUAUAUUAUCCCCGUAUUCCUACGGGAACGAGAACCACGCGAGUGAAACCGCGCGGCGUCAGCUAGUCGGUAAUAAUCGGUACAAUAAAAUAAAAGUAAAACAAUAACUAACAGAUGAAAUUUAUCUACAGUAACGUAACAGUAAAGUAAAAGUAUCUACCUAUAUACUUACCAUAUUCUAGCAAAAUAAAAAAUGGUUUGAUUUUAAAAUUGUCCAUUUUAUACUAGUUGCAAGAAAUGUUUUCCUUAUGAACUUUGGUAAAUUUCCUUUGUAUUUAUAUAGAGGAGUAAAAAGGCAAAAGUAUACUGUAAGACGAUUUCCUCGUAACUUCAUUAUUAUUUAUGCAAUAAGUAGCGAUUUGAAUGCGUUGGGCGGCGAGGCGUUCUUACAAUAAAAUUCUAGAAAUGCUAUUGUACAUUAUUGAGAUUGCUUACUCUUGAAUUAUUCCGUGUAUGUGUAAUAAGCCAUUUUAAUUUUCGUGCAGUUAUGUUUACCGACUUUGUAAAUUACCUAUAAUGACAUAACAACACAAUAUUAAGAAAAUAUUUGCUUACUUUAUUUAGAACUAGCCGACGCCCGCGACUUCGUCCGCGUGAAACUCGAUGUAAACUUUCAACUACCCCUAGCCUACCCCUAGCCUACCCCUACCCCUACCCUACUCCUACCUACCCCUACCAUACUUUUCUGGUUGAUUUUUUACACCUUGUGUCCGAAAACCCAAACAUCUUACGGAACCCUAUUUAUUUCCAAAAUAAAAUUUUGCCUAUGUUACUUGUGAAUAAUGUAGCUUUCGAAUGGUGAAAGAAUUUUUAAAAUCGGUCCAGUAGUUUUUGAGCCUAUUUAUUACAAUCAAACAAACAAACAAACAUACAAACAAAGUUUUCCUCUUUAUAAUAUUAGUAUAGAUAAUCAAUGAAUAAGAUUUGAUUUAAUGAAGCCAAAAAAACGAUAUUUAAAAAAUGUCUUUCCAGUAUACAUAUUUCUUGAUUAUAAAUUGAUAGCAAUUAUCGUUCAAUGCAUUCUCGAUAAAGUCAUCAAUACUCUCUCUAAGUGAGCUUUCAUUUGAGACCGCACUCGAGUAUAUUUACACACAUUCGGUUAUUCUUCCCCACUUUCAUCCCCAUAACUUUUAAAACGGCUCAACCGAUUUUCAUCAAACAUAUAUCAAACAACAACCUUUAAUACAAAAAAAAACUAAAUUGAAAUCGCUUUAUUCGUUCGGGAGUUAUGGCGCCUAAGACAAACAGACAGACAUGUCAAACGUAUCACACAUAAACACCCCUCUUUUUGUUUCGGGGGUUAAAAAUUACAAUCAAUAAUAUUUAUACGAGUUAAACUAAAAAAACCUUGUUUAUUUAUUUGUAUAGUUCGAAAUAUUCGACACGAUCGAGCUGGUAAGUAGAUAUAGCUUGUCAAUAUCCAACUAUAAAUUUAAAAUUUAACUAGAGAUAGCGACCCAUCUCAUGCACGCGACCCAGUUUCGCUUCUGAAUUUUUCAUGCUCAUAUCAACUGACGUAAAACUUGUUGCUACAUGUGCUCUGUAGAAUGCUAUUUCCAGUUUAUAUAUUUAUUUCAUGUUAAAAAAUUAACAAUCGCACAAGUUGUAUCUACGAUUUUCAGGAUGCCAUUAUUCUGACAUGAAAAAAACGGGACUACUCUGUAACAAAACAAAAAAAUAUAUUAUAUUGUAUUCUUACGGGAACGGAAACCACGCGAGUGAAACCGCGCGGCGUAAGCUAGUGGGUUGAUAAUGAUGAAAUUAUGAAAUAACUUGACGUUUAAGAGUGUGCAAUAUGUAAUUUGGUGGUUAUAAAUGGUUCUGGA